UUGCUUAGGUCUGAUGUGAAAGCCUUCGGCUUAACCGAAGAAGUGCAUCGGAAACCGGGCGACUUGAGUGCAGAAGAGGACAGUGGAACUCCAUGUGUAGCGGUGGAAUGCGUAGAUAUAUGGAAGAACACCAGUGGCGAAGGCGGCUGUCUGGUCUGCAACUGACGCUGAGGCUCGAAAGCAUGGGUAGCGAACAGGAUUAGAUACCCUGGUAGUCCAUGCCGUAAACGAUGAGUGCUAGGUGUUGGAGGGUUUCCGCCCUUCAGUGCCGGANCNAACGCAUUAAGCACUCCGCCUGGGGAGUACGACCGCAAGGUUGAAACUCAAAGGAAUUGACGGGGGCCCGCACAAGCGGUGGAGCAUGUGGUUUAAUUCGAAGCUACGCGAAGAACCUUACCAGGUCUUGACAUCUUGCGCUAACCUUAGAGAUAAGGCGUUCCCUUCGGGGACGCAAUGACAGGUGGUGCAUGGUCGUCGUCAGCUCGUGUCGUGA
This 493-nucleotide ribosomal RNA is filed under the name Limosilactobacillus reuteri. RNAcentral's name for it is "bacterial SSU rRNA". It matches the Rfam family "Bacterial small subunit ribosomal RNA", at positions 579 to 1070 of the family's 1533-position model. The record is from RNAcentral. Lineage: Bacteria; Bacillati; Bacillota; Bacilli; Lactobacillales; Lactobacillaceae.